GAUGAACGCUGGCGGCGUGCCUAAUACAUGCAAGUCGAGCGAACAGACGAGGAGCUUGCUCCUCUGACGUUAGCGGCGGACGGGUGAGUAAUACGUGGAUAACCUACCUAUAAGACUGGGAUAACUUCGGGAAACCGGAGCUAAUACCGGAUAAUAUAUUGAACCGCAUGGUUCAAUAGUGAAAGACGGUUUUGCUGUCACUUAUAGAUGGAUCCGCGCCGCAUUAGCUAGUUGGUAAGGUAACGGCUUACCAAGGCAACGAUGCGUAGCCGACCUGAGAGGGUGAUCGGCCACACUGGAACUGAGACACGGUCCAGACUCCUACGGGAGGCAGCAGUAGGGAAUCUUCCGCAAUGGGCGAAAGCCUGACGGAGCAACGCCGCGUGAGUGAUGAAGGUCUUCGGAUCGUAAAACUCUGUUAUUAGGGAAGAACAAAUGUGUAAGUAACUAUGCACGUCUUGACGGUACCUAAUCAGAAAGCCACGGCUAACUACGUG
This 497-nucleotide ribosomal RNA is filed under the name uncultured bacterium. RNAcentral describes it as "partial 16S ribosomal RNA". It matches the Rfam family "Bacterial small subunit ribosomal RNA", at positions 28 to 507 of the family's 1533-position model. The record is from RNAcentral.